CAUUGUUGUAUGUUAACUCCCCGUUACACUUAAGGUGUGUGUGAGUGUAUAAGUGAAAUGAAAUAAUUUUUUUGCGUCGGGGGCUUUGUGUGGCUAGAAAGUUGGUCUGCAUCAGUGUUCUCGGGGUUUUGACAGCGUAUAGUGUGUGUUGGAACGCUAAGUGUAAUAUCUUCUUUAAAUUUUUCCUUCCCGUUUAGUAGUAAAAACAAAAAAACACAAACAUGGAUGCCAUCAAGAAGAAGAUGCAAGCGAUGAAGCUUGAAAAGGAUAACGCCGUUGAUAAGGCCGAUACCUGUGAAAAUCAAGCUAAAGAUGCCAAUUCCCGUGCCGAUAAAUUGAAGGAAGAAGUACGUGAUUUGGAGAAAAAAUUGGUUCAAGUUGAAGCCGAUUUGGUUUCAUCCAAGGAACAAUUGGAAAAGGCCAACCAAGAAUUGGACGAGAAAGAGAAAUUGUUGACCGCCACCGAAUCCGAAGUAGCCACUUUGAAUCGUAAGGUACAACAAAUUGAAGAAGAUUUGGAAAAAUCUGAAGAACGCUCAACCAGUGCUCAACAAAAGUUGUUGGAAGCUACUCAAGCUGCUGAUGAAAACAACCGUAUGUGCAAAGUAUUGGAAAACCGUUCUCAACAAGAUGAAGAACGUAUGGAUCAAUUGACCAACCAAUUGAAGGAAGCCCGUAUGUUGGCUGAAGAUGCUGAUACCAAAUCUGAUGAAGUAUCCCGCAAGUUGGCCUUCGUUGAAGAUGAAUUGGAAGUUGCUGAAGAUCGUGUCAGGUCCGGUGAAGCCAAGAUCAUGGAACUUGAAGAAGAAUUGAAGGUUGUCGGUAACUCCUUGAAAUCUUUGGAAGUAUCCGAAGAAAAGGCCAACCAACGUGUUGAAGAAUUCAAACGUGAAAUGAAGACUUUGACCGUUAAAUUGAAGGAAGCCGAACAACGUGCUGAACAUGCUGAGAAGCAUGUCAAGCGCCUCCAAAAGGAAGUCGACAGGCUAGAAGACCGUCUCUUCCAUGAAAAAGAAAAAUACAAAGCAAUCUGCGAUGAUUUGGACUCCACCUUCGCCGAACUUACCGGAUAUUAAAAAAAAACCAAACAAAAACAAUUCAAACAAAUUACAAAAACACUUUUCAAUACUAUUGCCACAUAUACAUAUAUUUUACAUCCAAAAAAAAGACAAUUUACACUUACACAACUGUUUUCCCCACUUUUUUUCAAAUUUUGAAACCUCUAUUCCAUCAUAACGUUUUUGUAAAUUAACAAAUAUUUUGGAAAGAAUUCCUACUUUUUAUCCCUCCAAAUCAUAAUUUUAUUAUACUAUAUACCUCCAGCCCUGUAAAUACUUUUACUAAUUUAUUUUCAUUUUAUUUUUAAAACAAUUUCAAUUGUUUUUUUUUUCUUUGCAAAUCAACCAUUUGACAACCACUCACUUGCUCAUUACACAUUUUAUACAAUUUUGUGCUUUUAUCCUUAAAAAUACAUUUUUUUCUCUAAGUGUAUAUAAUAAACAAACACAAAACACACUGAAAAAAAAACGACAUUGUAAAAAGAAUUUCAAACAGCGUUUAUUUUUAAACAAACAAACAACCUGACCUGCCUUCUACGACUUUUGUAAAUUAGAAAAAACAAAGUCAGUCCAACCAACCAAUAGAGUGAGGUGAUUGAAUUAUCGCGCCAGUCAAUUACAAAUAUUAUAAAUAUUUUGUUGUAAGCUUUUAAACGAAUUGGGCAUCAACAAGGACAGAUACAAGUCUUUGGCCGACGAAAUGGACUCCACAUUCGCCGAAUUGGCUGGUUAUUAAAUUGUUGGUCUCUUUAUAAUUUGAAUAUGUUUUCCAUCAUCUUGUAAAAAAAAAUAAAAAAAACAAAAACAAAAAACUUAAAAAAAUCAAAAUUUAAACAACAACACCAUCAUCUUCAUAAGUUACCACCAUCACACUGCAUGAUGCUCCCAGCAAGCAGAUUAGUACUACACACACGCACACAUGAUCCUGAACAAAAUACGAUAUAACUGCUCCAAAAGAUUUUUUCUGAGGAGAAAUCCCGAAUUAAUUUUUCCGGCAGCAGUCUUAAGUAUCUGUGUGUAGUGUGAACGCACUCAAAAUAUCAUGUGUGUUUCUGCAAACGUUUUUUUAAUGUGAAUUGAAAAUGCCAAAUAUCGAUAAUAAACUUUUUUUGAAAAAGAAAAUUCAUAA
Lucilia sericata (common green bottle fly) is the source of this 2187-nucleotide RNA transcript. It is a transcript of the gene named tropomyosin-2, with no coding region annotated. NCBI's taxonomy places the organism in Eukaryota, Metazoa, Arthropoda, Insecta, Diptera, Calliphoridae. The record is from RefSeq and is a predicted model, not a curated record. The transcript is spliced from 6 exons.